AUCGUCGAGGGCGGAGAUUGCGGC
Molecule: microRNA, 24 nt
Filed under: Brachypodium distachyon (stiff brome)
Lineage: Eukaryota; Viridiplantae; Streptophyta; Magnoliopsida; Poales; Poaceae
Description: bdi-miR7749-5p
Source: miRBase by way of RNAcentral